UGACCCGGGCCCAAGUAGCAUAAUCUAUUGUCUUUUAAUUAAAGGCUUGUAUGAAUGGUUGAAUGAGAUAUUAACUAUUUUUAUUUUAAUAAAAAUGAAUUUUAAUUUUUAGUAAAAAUGCUAAAAUAAAAAAAUUAGACGAGAAGACCCUAUAAAUCUUAAUUUUAUUUUUUAUAAUAUUAAUUUUGAAAAUUUUUAAUAAAUUAUAAAAAUAAAAUUUUAUUGGGAGGAUAAUGAAAUUUAAUAAACUUUUAUUUUUUUUUAUAAAUAUAAUUAAAUUAUUGAAUAUAUAAUUAUAAAAUAUUUAAAAAAUUAAGUUACUUUAGGGAUAACAGCGUAAUUAUUUUAAAGAGUUCUUAUCGAUAAAAUAGUUUGCGACCUCGAUGUUGAAUUAAGAAUUAAUUAGGUGUAGAAGUUCAU
This 420-nucleotide ribosomal RNA is filed under the name Culicoides imicola. RNAcentral describes it as "partial 16S ribosomal RNA". Lineage: Eukaryota; Metazoa; Arthropoda; Insecta; Diptera; Ceratopogonidae. The record is from RNAcentral.